GUGCCAGCAGCCGCGGUAAAACGUAGGUGGCAAGCGUUAUCCGGAUUUACUGGGCGUAAAGGGUGUGCAGGCGGCAGGUCAAGUGGUGUAUGAAAGAGCCCGGCUUAACCGGGCGAGGCUAUGCCAGACUGACCGGCUGGAGUGCGGGAGAGGGACGUGGAAUUCCGGGUGUAGUGGUGAAAUGCGUAGAGAUCCGGAGGAACCCCAGAGGCGAAGGCGGCGUCCUGGCCCGACACUGACGCUCAGACACGACAGCAUGGGGAGCGAACGGGAUUAGAAACCCCCGUAGUCC
RNAcentral lists this ribosomal RNA (292 nucleotides) under uncultured bacterium. RNAcentral's name for it is "partial 16S ribosomal RNA". It matches the Rfam family "Bacterial small subunit ribosomal RNA", at positions 505 to 796 of the family's 1533-position model. The record is from RNAcentral.